This 481-nucleotide ribosomal RNA is filed under the name uncultured bacterium. Its description in RNAcentral is "bacterial SSU rRNA". It matches the Rfam family "Bacterial small subunit ribosomal RNA", at positions 28 to 507 of the family's 1533-position model. The record is from RNAcentral.
GAUGAACGCUAGCGGCAGGCCUAAUACAUGCAAGUCGAACGGAUAUAUGUUUUUCGGAAUAUAUAUUAGUGGCGCACGGGUGAGUAACACGUACAUAACUUGCCCUCAAGCGGGGGAUAGCCUUGGGAAACUGAGAGUAAUACCCCAUAGAAUUAUUGGACGGCAUCGUUUGAUAAUUAAAACUACGGUGUUUGGGGAUAGAUGUGCGUCUGAUUAGCUAGUUGGUGAGGUAACUGCUCACCAAGGCGACGAUCAGUAGGGGGCGUGAGAGCGUGGCCCCCCACACGGGUACUGAGACACGGACCCGACUCCUACGGGAGGCAGCAGUAAGGAUAUUGGUCAAUGGAGGGAACUCUGAACCAGCCAUGCCGCGUGAAGGAUGACGGCCCUCUGGGUUGUAAACUUCUUUUGGAUGGGGCGAAAAAACGGGNUUUAUCCUGGACUGACGGUACCAUCAGAAUAAGCACCGGCUAACUCCGUG